Non-coding RNA from Thoreauomyces humboldtii, 82 nucleotides. The record is from the annotation of a GenBank genome assembly. NCBI's taxonomy places the organism in Eukaryota, Fungi, Chytridiomycota, Chytridiomycetes, Spizellomycetales, Powellomycetaceae.
CAGACAGUGGUUUAGUGGUAAAAUUACCCCUUGCCAAUUUAUCAACAUGGGGUAGCCCCGGGUUCAAUUCCCGGCUGUCUGA